CCUACGGGUGGCAGCAGUGAGGAAUAUUGGUCAAUGGACGAGAGUCUGAACCAGCCAAGUAGCGUGAAGGAUGACUGCCCUAUGGGUUGUAAACUUCUUUUAUAUGGGAAUAAAAUGUGCCACGUGUGGGAUUUUGUAUGUACCAUAUGAAUAAGGAUCGGCUAACUCCGUGCCAGCAGCCGCGGUAAUACGGAGGAUCCGAGCGUUAUCCGGAUUUAGUGGGUUUAAAGGGAGCGUAGGUGGAUUGUUAAGUCAGUUGUGAACGUUUGCGGCUCAACCGUAAAAUUGCAGUUGAAACUGGCAGUCUUGAGUACAGUAGCGGUGGGCGGAAUUCGUGGUGUAGCGGUGAAAUGCUUAGAUAUCACGAAGAACUCCGAUUGCGAAGGCAGCUCACUGGACUGCACCUGACACUGAGGCUCGAAAGUGUGGGUAUCAAACAGGAUUAGAUACCCGAGUAGUC
This 460-nucleotide ribosomal RNA is filed under the name uncultured bacterium. RNAcentral describes it as "partial 16S ribosomal RNA". It matches the Rfam family "Bacterial small subunit ribosomal RNA", at positions 338 to 795 of the family's 1533-position model. The record is from RNAcentral.